GACGAACGCUGGCGGCGUGCCUAAUACAUGCAAGUCGAGCGCAGGAAAUCGAUGGAACCCUUCGGGGGGAAGUCGAUGGAAUGAGCGGCGGACGGGUGAGUAACACGUAAAGAACCUGCCCUCAGGUCUGGAAUAACCACGAGAAAUCGGGGCUAAUACCGGAUGGGUCAUCGGACCGCAUGGUCCGAGGAUGAAAGGCGCUUCGGCGUCGCCUGGGGAUGGCUUUGCGGUGCAUUAGCUAGUUGGUGGGGUAAUGGCCCACCAAGGCGACGAUGCAUAGCCGACCUGAGAGGGUGAUCGGCCACACUGGGACUGAGACACGGCCCAGACUCCUACGGGAGGCAGCAGUAGGGAAUCUUCCACAAUGGACGAAAGUCUGAUGGAGCAACGCCGCGUGAGCGAUGAAGGCCUUCGGGUCGUAAAGUUCUGUUGUAAGGGAAGAACAAGUGCCGCAGGCAAUGGCGCCACCUUGACGGUACCUUGCGAGAAAGCCACGGCUAACUACGUGCCAGCCGCCGCGGUAA
RNAcentral lists this ribosomal RNA (524 nucleotides) under uncultured bacterium. RNAcentral's name for it is "partial 16S ribosomal RNA". It matches the Rfam family "Bacterial small subunit ribosomal RNA", at positions 28 to 523 of the family's 1533-position model. The record is from RNAcentral.